UAUAAAGUGGAGUGGAGUAGAGCUAUUAUACUCUUAUGAGUAUGAAAUCCUCGUACUUGUAAGUCGUUUUAAAUAAUAACAACUUUCGAACCAACUAUUCAUACUGUUAAAUAUAAUCUAGAGUAUUGUAAAAUACCUAAAUGUAAGGACUGAAAUUUUGACAGUAUAACUAAACUCUAGUUAGUUAAUUCGCGAAUUAUUCACGAAUUAUUGAAAAUCCGAAUUAAACGGUCCGUUUACGAAUUUUUCCCAAAGAAAGAGAAUUAUUCGCAAAUUUUUGGGCCAGCCGAAUUAUUCGCGAAAUAUUCGCGAAUAAUUCGCGAAUUAUUCCCGAAUUAUUCGCGAAUAAUUCGCGAAUUAUUCCCGAAUUAUUGAAAAUAUGAAUAAAAAACUUAUAAUUUUUAUUUUUAAAUAUAAAUUAUCUUAUAUUUUAUAUCUUAUAUUCUAUAUUUUAUACCGAAUCCGUUUUUUAAGCCGAAUUUUUCAACGAAUUUAAAAAUUAGAAAACGAAUUUUAUGCGUAUUAUAUCCGUACCGAAUUUUUGCCGAAUCCGAAUUAACUAACUAUGAGCUAAACUCUCUAUUAACGAUAUUUUUUGUGUAUAUUUUAAUUACAAAAGCACUUAUCAAGUUUCGAGAGAAAACGAGUUUGAAUGGAGAAAUUACGUGACUUUUACUUUUCACUUAAAGUGAAUAGUAACUGCGGUUUCCGGAGAGGCCAA
RNAcentral lists this long non-coding RNA (721 nucleotides) under Ananas comosus (pineapple). RNAcentral describes it as "long non-coding RNA (ACOM_LNC023297)". Lineage: Eukaryota; Viridiplantae; Streptophyta; Magnoliopsida; Poales; Bromeliaceae. The record is from RNAcentral.